CGGGACGGGUGAGUAACGCGUGGGUAACCUGCCUCAUACAGGGGGAUAACAGUUGGAAACGGCUGCUAAUACCGCAUAAGCGCACGGCAUCGCAUGAUGCAGUGUGAAAAACUCCGGUGGUAUAAGAUGGACCCGCGUUGGAUUAGCUAGUUGGUGAGGUAACGGCCCACCAAGGCGACGAUCCAUAGCCGACCUGAGAGGGUGACCGGCCACAUUGGGACUGAGACACGGCCCAA
This 236-nucleotide ribosomal RNA is filed under the name uncultured bacterium. RNAcentral's name for it is "partial 16S ribosomal RNA". It matches the Rfam family "Bacterial small subunit ribosomal RNA", at positions 100 to 334 of the family's 1533-position model. The record is from RNAcentral.